Molecule: ribosomal RNA, 427 nt
Filed under: uncultured bacterium
Lineage: Bacteria
Description: bacterial SSU rRNA
Rfam family: Bacterial small subunit ribosomal RNA
Source: RNAcentral
UGGGGAAUCUUGCGCAAUGGGCGAAAGCCUGACGCAGCGACGCCGCGUGGGUGAUGAAGGCCUUCGGGUUGUAAAGCUCUGUGGGGAGAGAAGAAUAAGCAUUGGCUAAUAUCCAAUGCGAUGACGGUAUCUCCUUAGCAAGCACCGGCUAACUCUGUGCCAGCAGCCGCGGUAAGACAGAGGGUGCAAACGUUGUUCGGAAUUACUGGGCGUAAAGCGCGUGUAGGCGGUCGUGCAAGUCGGGUGUGAAAGCCCCAGGCUCAACCUGGGAAGUGCAUUCGAUACUGCGAGACUCGAGUCCCGGAGAGGAUGGUAGAAUUCUCGGUGUAGAGGUGAAAUUCGUAGAUAUCGGGAAGAAUACCGGUGGCGAAGGCGGCCAUCUGGACGGUGACUGACGCUGAGACGCGAAAGCGUGGGGAGCAAACAG